UGUGGGGUAAUUCAACGGCAGAAUGUCUGGCUGUUAACCAGAUCGCUGGCGGUUCGAGUCCGCCCCUCACAG
Molecule: transfer RNA, 72 nt
Filed under: Salinibacter ruber
Lineage: Bacteria; Pseudomonadati; Rhodothermota; Rhodothermia; Rhodothermales; Salinibacteraceae
Description: tRNA-Asn
Rfam family: tRNA
About the family: Transfer RNA (tRNA) molecules are approximately 80 nucleotides in length. Their secondary structure includes four short double-helical elements and three loops (D, anti-codon, and T loops). Further hydrogen bonds mediate the characteristic L-shaped molecular structure. tRNAs have two regions of fundamental functional importance: the anti-codon, which is responsible for specific mRNA codon recognition, and the 3' end, to which the tRNAs corresponding amino acid is attached (by aminoacyl-tRNA synthetases). tRNAs cope with the degeneracy of the genetic code in two manners: having more than one tRNA (with a specific anti-codon) for a particular amino acid; and 'wobble' base-pairing, i.e. permitting non-standard base-pairing at the 3rd anti-codon position.
Source: RNAcentral